AUUGAACGCUGGCGGCAUGCCUUACACAUGCAAGUCGAACGGUAACAGGUCUUCGGACGCUAACGAGUGGCGAACGGGUGAGUAAUACAUCGGAACGUGCCCAGUCGUGGGGGAUAACUACUCGAAAGAGUAGCUAAUACCGCAUACGAUCUGAGGAUGAAAGCGGGGGACCUUCGGGCCUCGCGCGAUUGGAGCGGCCGAUGGCAGAUUAGGUAGUUGGUGGGAUAAAAGCUUACCAAGCCGACGAUCUGUAGCUGGUCUGAGAGGACGACCAGCCACACUGGGACUGAGACACGGCCCAGACUCCUACGGGAGGCAGCAGUGGGGAAUUUUGGACAAUGGGCGAAAGCCUGAUCCAGCAAUGCCGCGUGCAGGAUGGAGGCCUUCGGGUUGUAAACUGCUUUUGUACGGAACGAAAAAGCUUCUCCUAAUACGAGAGGCCCAUGACGGCACCGUAAGAAUAAGCACCGGCUAACUACGUGCCAGCCGCCGCCGUAA
This 498-nucleotide ribosomal RNA is filed under the name uncultured bacterium. Its description in RNAcentral is "partial 16S ribosomal RNA". It matches the Rfam family "Bacterial small subunit ribosomal RNA", at positions 30 to 523 of the family's 1533-position model. The record is from RNAcentral.